UACGGAGGGUGCAAGCGUUAUCCGGAUUCACUGGGUUUAAAGGGUGCGUAGGUGGGUAGGUAAGUCAGUGGUGAAAUCCCCGAGCUUAACUUGGGAACUGCCGUUGAUACUAUCUGUCUUGAAUAUCGUGGAGGUUAGCGGAAUAUGUCAUGUAGCGGUGAAAUGCAUAGAGAUGACAUAGAACACCAAUUGCGAAGGCAGCUGGCUACACGGUAAUUGACACUGAGGCACGAAAGCGUGGGGAGCAAACAGG
Molecule: ribosomal RNA, 253 nt
Filed under: uncultured bacterium
Lineage: Bacteria
Description: partial 16S ribosomal RNA
Rfam family: Bacterial small subunit ribosomal RNA
Source: RNAcentral